This 330-nucleotide small nuclear RNA is filed under the name Saimiri boliviensis boliviensis (Bolivian squirrel monkey). Its description in RNAcentral is "7SK RNA (ENSSBOG00000013179.1)". It matches the Rfam family "7SK RNA". Rfam says of the family: 7SK was discovered as an abundant small nuclear RNA in the mid-70s but a possible function has only recently been suggested. Two independent studies have found that 7SK RNA binds the CDK9/cyclin T complex (known as elongation factor P-TEFb). Lineage: Eukaryota; Metazoa; Chordata; Mammalia; Primates; Cebidae. The record is from Rfam by way of RNAcentral.
GGAUGUGAGGGCGAUCUGGCUGUGACAUCUGUCACCCCACUGACCCCCAGAGUUGAUUCAGCUCAUCUGGAUGGCUAGGCGGGUGUCCCCUUCCUCUCCCACAACUCCCUGUACAUCCCUCCCAAAGCUGCACACUCAGUUAAGAGGACGACCUUCCCCAAUCGAGGAGGACCAGUCUUCAGUCAAGGGUAGAGGAGUAGCUGCACUUCCUUGCUAGAACCUCCGAACAAACUCCCAAAAGGACAUCUGGAAAAUAAAGAAACAUGCCUAUGACUAAUCCUCAGAGAAACACAAGCUGAAACAUCGUGAUAUCACUUUACACACUUUUGU